RNAcentral lists this ribosomal RNA (253 nucleotides) under uncultured bacterium. RNAcentral's name for it is "partial 16S ribosomal RNA". It matches the Rfam family "Bacterial small subunit ribosomal RNA", at positions 524 to 776 of the family's 1533-position model. The record is from RNAcentral.
UACGAAGGGGGCUAGCGUUGCUCGGAAUUACUGGGCGUAAAGCGUGCGCAGGCGGUUCGUGAUGUCUGAUGUGAAAGCCCCGGGCUCAACCUGGGAACUGCAUUGGAAACUAGCGGGCUGGAGUGUGGCAGAGGGGGGUGGAAUUCCACGUGUAGCAGUGAAAUGCGUAGAGAUGUGGAGGAACACCGAUGGCGAAGGCAGCCCCCUGGGCUAACACUGACGCUCAUGCACGAAAGCGUGGGGAGCAAACAGG